UCUAUUUCAAGACGGUGCAAAAUAUAUUUGAAACCCCCGGAUGACCUUCGUAGAGUAAACGAAAUUUGUUGAUUAUAUUUUUGUGCUCGAUAUUUCAAAAUUCUGGUUCAUCGCUCUCUGAUUUGGAUUUUGUGUGUUGUUUAUGUCUAUGCAUUUACUGGUGUCGGUCUGAUUGAGGUAGGAAGAUGAGGCCAAUUAUAACGUGGGAGGAGGGUUCGAAAGUUGUGGAAGAAUGUUGUGAGAAAGCUAGGAUGAUACUCGAUGGAUAUCAACCUGGGGUGCUGUUCACAUCUGAGGAUUAUAUCAAAUAUUAUGACUGUGUCUACCACAUGUCUGUACAGCCAGAUCCAUAUAGUUACGCAGUGCAGCUUCGCGCAAGGUUUUUGAGAGCUCUAGCUGAAGGCAUUACUAUGAGGGUGCUGCCAUCUUUAUGGAAUAAAAUAGAUUCUUCUCUUUUGCUAGAACUUACAAACAUGUGGGCAAGGUACAAAAAAAUGGCGAGCUGCCUUGCAGGAAUUUUUCAUUAUCUGGAACGGGGUUAUAAUGGCAACUCUCUUAUCCAGACUUCAGCUCACUGUUUUCAUGACUUGGUCUGUGCUGAACAUUAUCAGAAGUUUCAAGCUGCUGCAAUUUCUCUGAAUCACAAGGAUCGUGACGAGGAAUCACCCGUUAUCAGGGAAUUGUUACAGAAUGUGUCCACUUUUUUUGUUGAUAUGGGACUUGGAAAGAAGUUCUAUUACAACAACUUCGAGAAGGCAUUACUAGCAGAUACAGCCAGCUACUAUUCUCAGUUAGCUUCACGAUGGCGUAUGUGUAAUUCAUUUACAGUAUAUGUUCAGAAGACUUCACUGUGUCUGACCAAGGAGAAAGCCAGAGCUAGCCAGUUUCUUUACCAGGACUCAGUAGAGAAAUUGUUACAGGUUGCGCAGUCGCAAAUGCUGAAUCAGGUGGCAAAUCAAUUGCUUGAAAUGAAAAAAGCGGAGAUCAGUAACGGGUCAGAUCCAGUUGAGGAGUUACUUUCUUUAUGUGCAAGCUUAAACCUUGAGGACGGAAGCUCAUCAAUGUGUUGAAAAGGUUUCCUUUAGUUUUCAAUUUUCAGGAAUCUACAUCUAACCUCUCUUGUCAAAAAAAAUUGUACAUGAUCAGUAAGGAAAUUGGAGCUCUGGGAUAUUACAUGCUUGGUGUCAAUUUUGUGAAUUGCAAAUUUGCAUUGAUCAAUUGUGUAAAAGACUACCCUGUGAAGCUUAGCAACCAUAUUUUAAAGUUGGUACGAGCAGACAGCAGUAGAACCUCUGGCAUUGUACAGAGCAGUUCAUUUUUUAUAAGAAGAACUUGUGCAUCAAUAGAAGAAUUUCUGGAAUGCAUCCUACCACGAGCAUUGAUUAACCUUUAGGAUUAAACAAAGCAGGACGAGGCUCAUAACUAAACCAAGACAUUUAACAUAAUAUUCCAAGACAGUUAUGAUGGAGAAGUAGUGCUGAGAAGCAGCAUGGCACGGUAAAAAUUAUUUUUGAUAAUGGGGUUCAGUGCUUGGACAACGUUACAGAUGUAUGCAACAUGCGAGUAGUAAGCCAUGAAUUAAACUGAUGGAUGAUGAUGUUACCAUCACAGUCAAUGGACUGAUGAGUUUGUUUAGCAAAACUUGAUCUGUAGUUUGAUGUGCCUUGAAGGGAAGCGAUGUACAAGACUACAGAUCCAGGAUUGAUUGUUUGCUAAGAUACCAUCCCCUAGAUGUCAUCACCCACCUCUAGAUCCAGGAUCGAUUAUUUGAUUAUUUGCUAAUGCUGCACUAGCCAAUUUGGAGGUGAGGUUGUUAGACAACUCUGCUGCCAGGAAUGGAGUUGUUGCUAGGCUGCUAGCAACCGCAAAUUGGACUUGGCAGUUUGCAAUGCAGCAAGACUGCUCUUUGUGAAGGAUCCUGAUAAUGGGGUUGAAUGAGGACUUGGUGGCAUGAUUCUAUUCUUCAAAUCAAGUCCCGGUCUGCUACUUGUUUCUGUGCUCUGCAGGGACAUGAAUUCCUCCUGUUUGUUACACAAGUUGUUUUGAGGUGAUAAACUGUGAUUUUAAUACUGUGAAUGUUACAAAUUAUAAUACUCUGCACUUGUAAACUUGUUUUACAAGUUGUUUUUAUUUUCAAA
This is an RNA transcript of Daucus carota subsp. sativus, 2138 nucleotides long. It is a transcript of the gene named cullin-1, with no coding region annotated. The transcript is spliced from 10 exons. The record is from RefSeq and is a predicted model, not a curated record. Lineage: Eukaryota; Viridiplantae; Streptophyta; Magnoliopsida; Apiales; Apiaceae.